RNAcentral lists this ribosomal RNA (371 nucleotides) under uncultured bacterium. RNAcentral's name for it is "bacterial SSU rRNA". It matches the Rfam family "Bacterial small subunit ribosomal RNA", at positions 28 to 404 of the family's 1533-position model. The record is from RNAcentral.
GAUGAACGCUGGCGGCGUGCCUAACACAUGCAAGUCGAGCGAUUCUCUUCGGAGAAGAGCGGCGGACGGGUGAGUAACGCGUGGGUAACCUGCCCUGUACACACGGAUAACAUACCGAAAGGUAUGCUAAUACGAGAUAAUAUGUCUUUUAUCGCAUGGUAGAAGUAUCAAAGUCUUUUGCGGUACAGGAUGGACCCGCGUCUGAUUAGCUAGUUGGUAAGGUAACGGCUUACCAAGGCGACGAUCAGUAGCCGACCUGAGAGGGUGAUCGGCCACAUUGGAACUGAGACACGGUCCAAACUCCUACGGGAGGCAGCGAGGUGGGAAUAUUGCACAAGUGGGACGAAGCCUGAUGCAGCAACGCCGCGUGA